AGAGCGAACGCUGGCGGCGUGCUUAACACAUGCAAGUCGAACGUGAAAGUAGCAAUAUGAGUAAAGUGGCGUACGGGUGAGUAACACGUGGGUAAUCUACCUUAGAGUCUGGAAUAACCUGCCGAAAGGCGGGCUAAUACUGGAUAGAUCAAGCGCAUCAUAAGGUGUGAUUGGGAAAGGAGCAAUUCGCUUUAGGAUGAGCCCGCGUCUGAUUAGCUAGUUGGUAAGGUAAUGGCUUACCAAGGCGACGAUCAGUAGCUGGUCUGAGAGGAUGAUCAGCCACACUGGAACUGAAACACGGUCCAGACUCCUACGGGAGGCAGCAGUGGGGAAUAUUGCACAAUGGGCGAAAGCCUGAUGCAGCAACGCCGCGUGAGUGAUGAAGGCCUUCGGGUUGUAAAGCUCUGUCUUUUGGGACGAUAAUGACGGUACCAAAGGAGGAAGCCACGGCUAACUACGUGCCAGCAGCCGCGGUAAUACGUAGGUGGCGAGCGUUGUCCGGAUUUACUGGGCGUAAAGGAUGCGUAGGUGGAUAUUUAAGUGAGAUGUGAAAUACCCGAGCUUAACUUGGGUGCUGCAUUUCAAACUGGAUAUCUAGAGUGCAGGAGAGGAGAAUGGAAUUCCUAGUGUAGCGGUGAAAUGCGUAGAGAUUAGGAAGAACACCAGUGGCGAAGGCGAUUCUCUGGACUGUAACUGACACUGAGGCAUGAAAGCGUGGGUAGCAAACAGGAUUAGAUACCCUGGUAGUCCACGCCGUAAACGAUGAGUACUAGGUGUAGGAGGUAUCGACUCCUUCUGUGCCGCAGUUAACACAAUAAGUACUCCGCCUGGGAAGUACGAUCGCAAGAUUAAA
This 853-nucleotide ribosomal RNA is filed under the name uncultured bacterium. RNAcentral's name for it is "bacterial SSU rRNA". It matches the Rfam family "Bacterial small subunit ribosomal RNA", at positions 26 to 898 of the family's 1533-position model. The record is from RNAcentral.